This 20-nucleotide microRNA is filed under the name Spodoptera frugiperda (fall armyworm). Its description in RNAcentral is "sfr-miR-10490-5p". The record is from miRBase by way of RNAcentral. Lineage: Eukaryota; Metazoa; Arthropoda; Insecta; Lepidoptera; Noctuidae.
UUCCAACGAAUGCAAGACCG